RNAcentral lists this transfer RNA (84 nucleotides) under Candidatus Poseidoniaceae archaeon. RNAcentral's name for it is "tRNA-Leu". It matches the Rfam family "tRNA". From Rfam's summary of the family: Transfer RNA (tRNA) molecules are approximately 80 nucleotides in length. Their secondary structure includes four short double-helical elements and three loops (D, anti-codon, and T loops). The record is from RNAcentral. Lineage: Archaea; Methanobacteriati; Thermoplasmatota; Candidatus Poseidoniia; Candidatus Poseidoniales; Candidatus Poseidoniaceae.
GCAGAGAUGGCUGAGCUUGGUCAAAGGCGCCGGAGUUAAGUUCCGGUCGUUACACGUUCGUGGGUUCAAAUCCCACUCUCUGCA